This 494-nucleotide ribosomal RNA is filed under the name uncultured bacterium. RNAcentral's name for it is "bacterial SSU rRNA". It matches the Rfam family "Bacterial small subunit ribosomal RNA", at positions 36 to 518 of the family's 1533-position model. The record is from RNAcentral.
CUGGCGGCGCGUCUUAAGCAUGCAAGUCGAACGGCAAGAGGUAGCAAUACCUCCUAGAGUGGCGGACUGGUGAGUAACACGUGGGUGACAUACCCUUCAGAUGGGGAUAGCUAUUAGAAAUAGUAGAUAAUACCGAAUACGAGCACAGGGGUUAGAGAUCUGUGAGGAAAGGAGCUAAGGCUCCGCUGAAGGAAUGGCCUGCGGCCCAUUAGCUAGUUGGUGAGGUAAGAGCCCACCAAGGCGAUGAUGGGUAUCCGGCCUUAGAGGGUGAACGGACACAUUGGGACUGAGAUACGGCCCAGACUCCUACGGGAGGCAGCAGCUAAGAAUAUUCCGCAAUGGACGAAAGUCUGACGGAGCGACGCCGCCGUGGAUGAAGAAGGCCGGAAGGUUGUAAAAUCCUUUUGAAACUGAAGAAUAAGCGUUGUAGGGAAUGACAGCGUGGUGACAGUAGGUUUUGAAUAAGCAACGGCUAAUUACGUGCCAGCCGCGGC